RNA transcript from Setaria italica (foxtail millet), 1519 nucleotides. RefSeq lists it as uncharacterized. The transcript is spliced from 4 exons. The record is from RefSeq and is a predicted model, not a curated record. NCBI's taxonomy places the organism in Eukaryota, Viridiplantae, Streptophyta, Magnoliopsida, Poales, Poaceae.
UCCAAAUGUCUGAGUGGCCGGCUCAUACUUGCCAUGGCGAUGUCUAUCCCUCCUCUCAAAGGAUGGAGCAGCAAGCUCCUUGUAGUUGCGGCCAUGAUAGGAACCCUGGUCGUGGUCGCCAUCGCCGCCGUCAUCAUCGUCGGCCUCACUCCGCCACUGGUCUUCUUCUCCAUCCAAGAUGCAAGCCUCCAAGGCGGGCAGUUGAAACAGCAAAAAUUCUACAACUUCACCCUCUAUGCCAACAACACCAGCCGGCGCAUGGAGGUGCACUAUACCAACCUCAACACCGAGAUCUGGAUAGCCCCGUCUGAGUGGUACCCGGCCGAGGUGAGCAUGAGCGGGUUCGAGCAGCCACCGGUGAGCAUCAACGGGUACAAGCAGCCACCGGACAACGUGACCAAGGUCGCCGGGUGGGCCGAGUUCUAUCAGACGACGUCGUUGACGGCGGCGGCGCAGGGCGGCGGCGCGGGGAAUUGGCCAAACUGCACUGUGGUGGUGAUGGCCAAGGUGUUGUUCAAGGUCGGGCUGGCACGCACACGGCCGUACCACAUCAGGGUGUUCUGCUUCCCCGUCAACUUCCUCAAUACGACUCGGCCCAUACAGGCCUAUCAGGUGGAUGGGCCGGCCGGCCUCCUGGAUCAACAAGACCGGUAUCCCUUCUUGGCCCGUCCGCCCCCGCUGUAGAAACAAAACCAGAACCAGCAGAUCCCCCGGGCCCUGAAGAGAAAGACGAUGGCAACAGAAGAAAGAGCUCGCGACGAAGCCGGCGAAAGCCCCCCAAACCCUCCCCAGCCCAGGCAGCGGCGGCGCGACGAGAUGGCCGACGACCCCACCGCCGGCGGCGGGAACACCGUCGAGGACGUCGUCCGCGCGGAGUGCCGUGGGCCCGCCACUUCCCUUCUGGCCCACAAGUCAUGGAGGCGCGCGAGGAGGGGUAUCGGUUUCACGAUGAUUAAUCAAGAAAGGCCCAAGACACGUCACGCUGGGGGUGGGGGAGGGAAGACACCGCACCGCAUGCACCUGCAUGCACCUUUGCCUUUGCUUUUCCCCGGCGUCCUAGGGACCUCGAGCUCGCCCGCCUAGGAGCUCCAGCAGCCGGGCCGCUCCGCCGCCGGUGCGGCAACCACGCCGCCGUCAGACCACCUCGCGCGGCCACCCCGCGCCGGUGCGCCGUGCGCGGCGGUGCUGUCCCGCCGCUCCUCCGCCUACCGUCCUCCUGCGCCACCACCAGCUAGCGCACCGGCAGCACCGCGAGCUGCCGCGCCGCCCCGACGACGUUGGUCAUUCCGGAGCCCGGUGUCGUCACCAGCGUCGCCGGAGAAGGUUGCAUUCAGGAGAUCGAGCUGCCGGAUCGGAGGAGGUCAUAUCAGCCGUGUUGGUUGUGCACUUGUGUUGCUGCCGGCGGAGAAGGAACCAUGGUGAUCGGGCCACUGAUCUCCAUAAUGUAGUUGAACUAAAAUAAUCCCCUUCUGAGUUUAGCAUCUUUCCUUUGGAUGAAAUAAAAAAUUGUUAUUCCGGA